AUAAGUGGCGUCCGACGUAAGUCGGGCAUCGUAAAUCCGAGAACUCCCUGUAUGCAUCUCUCUCCUGGGGGGCUGAGGUGUUCUUCAAGGGGUGAUGCCAGAGGAAGUUUAUUAGCAUACCCCCUCCCUACUAGAGAAGUGAGUCUGAAAAAGGGAUGAAGGAACUAGCCCCAACAAAGUAAGAACCAACUUGAACACAGACUCAAACCCUGAAAUGAAUCAGCUGCCUCUGUUUCCUAGAACCACUUGGAAGCAGCAGAAUACCUGACAGACACACCAUGCUCAUGGCAUUUCCAGCCUCACUGGAAUUAGAAAGUACAGUAUUCUCAUCUGGAAGCUUGUGUUUGCAGGACUUCUGUGACUCAAGUGACACGGAAAAGUUCUGUCCAUCUAUACAAUGCUCAGGAUGAUCUAUCAGACAAGAGGAAGAAGAGAAAACUAGUCCUUUCCCAUAGAAGAGUGCAGCUGGAUGGCUCCUGGCCAAGGCAGCCUGAUCUGGGACCUGGCGCCCCUUUUGUCUGUAUUCUCUCCUGGUGCUGAGAGAAGCCCAGCAAAGGGAUGAAAUGGGGCUGCCCUCACCCCGCACACAUAUACCCCAUCCCACAGCACAUACCUGGCACUGGGACUCCCACCUGCUACCCACAAAGUGCAGCACUAGGUAUAUAGAGGGUACCUCCCACCCCCC
Mauremys mutica (yellowpond turtle) is the source of this 685-nucleotide long non-coding RNA. RefSeq lists it as uncharacterized. Lineage: Eukaryota; Metazoa; Chordata; Testudines; Geoemydidae. The transcript has 3 exons. The record is from RefSeq and is a predicted model, not a curated record.